This 338-nucleotide RNase P RNA is filed under the name Berryella wangjianweii. Its description in RNAcentral is "Bacterial RNase P class A". It matches the Rfam family "Bacterial RNase P class A". From Rfam's summary of the family: Ribonuclease P (RNase P) is a ubiquitous endoribonuclease, found in archaea, bacteria and eukarya as well as chloroplasts and mitochondria. Its best characterised activity is the generation of mature 5'-ends of tRNAs by cleaving the 5'-leader elements of precursor-tRNAs. Cellular RNase Ps are ribonucleoproteins. Lineage: Bacteria; Bacillati; Actinomycetota; Coriobacteriia; Eggerthellales; Eggerthellaceae. The record is from Rfam by way of RNAcentral.
UGAGUGGGCCAGACGGUCGCAUGCCUGCAUGAGGAAAGUCCGGGCUCCCAAGGGCAAGAUGCCAGCUAACGGCUGGGCGGAGCGAUCCGACGGAAAGUGCCACAGAAAAGAAGACUCCCCAGUUCAUCUGGAGAAAAGCUGAAACGGUGCGGUAAGAGCGCACCAGCGCGCCGGCAACGGCGCGGCUUGGCAAACCCCAUCUGGAGCAAGCGCAAAUAGGAACGCGAUACGGCCGCCCUUCCGUGCGUUCGGGUUGCGUGCUAGAGCCAUGCGGCGACGCAUGGCGUAGAUAAAUGGCCGUUCAACGACAGAACCCGGCUUAUCGGCUCACUCGGCUU